AUUUGUCCCCUAAAUAGGGACUCGUAUGAACGGCUAAAUGAGGUUCUAACUGUCUCAUUAGACUAAUCAAUGAAACUGAUCUUUCAGUACAAAAGCUGAAAUAAACCCAUAAGACGAGAAGACCCUGUGGAGCUUAAAACUUAUACUAUAAACAAACCCCCCUUUUCUUUUAGUUGGGGCGACUUUGGAACAAAACAAAACUUCCAUGACAGGUCCCUAUCAAGGCCCACACGCCAAAAUAACUACUUAUUGACCCAGCCACUCUUAGCUGAUCAACGAACCAAGUUACCCCAGGGAUAACAGCGCCAUCCUCUUCAAGAGUCCCUAUCGACAAGAGGGUUUACGACCUCGAUGUUGGAUCAGGACACCCCGGUGGUGCAACCGCUA
This 387-nucleotide ribosomal RNA is filed under the name Strophurus intermedius (Southern spiny-tailed gecko). Its description in RNAcentral is "partial 16S ribosomal RNA". It matches the Rfam family "Bacterial large subunit ribosomal RNA", at positions 1967 to 2564 of the family's 2925-position model. The record is from RNAcentral. Lineage: Eukaryota; Metazoa; Chordata; Lepidosauria; Squamata; Diplodactylidae.